Molecule: ribosomal RNA, 497 nt
Filed under: uncultured bacterium
Lineage: Bacteria
Description: partial 16S ribosomal RNA
Rfam family: Bacterial small subunit ribosomal RNA
Source: RNAcentral
GAUGAACGCUGGCGGCGUGCCUAAUACAUGCAAGUCGAGCGAACAGACGAGGAGCUUGCUCCUCUGACGUUAGCGGCUGACGGGUGAGUAACACGUGGAUAACCUACCUAUAAUACUGGGAUAACUUCGGGAAACCGGAGCUAAUACCGGAUAAUAUAGUGAACCGCAUGGUUCAAUAGUGAAAGACGGUUUUGCUGUCACUUAUAGAUGGAUCCGCGCCGCAUUAGCUAGUUGGUAAGGUAACGGCUUACCAAGGCAACGAUGCGUAGCCGACCUGAGAGGGUGAUCGGCCACACUGGAACUGAGACCCGGUCCAGACUCCUACGGGAGGCAGCAGUAGGGAAUCUUCCGCAAUGGGCGAAAGCCUGACGGAGAAACGCCGCGUGAGUGAUGAAGGUCUUCGGAUCGUAAAACUCUGUUAUUAGGGAAGAACAAAUGUGUAAGUAACUAUGCACGUCUUGACGGUACCUAAUCAGAAAGCCACGGCUAACUACGUG